CCUACGGGUGGCAGCAGUGGGGAAUAUUGCGCAAUGGGCGAAAGCCUGACGCAGCGACGCCGCGUGAGUGAUGAAGGUCUUCGGAUCGUAAACCUCUGUCAGCAGGGAAGAACGGUCACUGUGCUAAUCAGUAGUGAAUUGACGGUACCUGCAAAGGAAGCACCGGCUAACUCCGUGCCAGCAGCCGCGGUAAUACGGGGGGUGCGAGCGUUAAUCGGAAUUACUGGGCGUACAGCGCUCGUAGGCGGUAUGUCAAGUCAAGGGUGAAAUCCCCGUGCUCAACGUGGGAACUGCCUUUGAAACUGGCAGACUGGAGUGUGUGAGAGGAUGGUGGAAUUCCAGGUGUAGGGGUGAAAUCCGUAGAUAUCUGGAGGAACAUCAGUGGCGAAGGCGACUAUCUGGCACAUAACUGACGCUGAGGAGCGAAAGCGUGGGUAGCAAACAGGAUUAGAUACCCGUGUAGUC
Molecule: ribosomal RNA, 465 nt
Filed under: uncultured bacterium
Lineage: Bacteria
Description: partial 16S ribosomal RNA
Rfam family: Bacterial small subunit ribosomal RNA
Source: RNAcentral